This is a small nucleolar RNA of Gymnogyps californianus (California condor), 101 nucleotides long. RefSeq annotates it as small nucleolar RNA SNORD16. The record is from RefSeq and is a predicted model, not a curated record. NCBI's taxonomy places the organism in Eukaryota, Metazoa, Chordata, Aves, Accipitriformes, Cathartidae. The transcript has a single exon.
UGCCGUGAUGUCGUAAUUUGCGUCUUACUCUGUGCUCAGUGACAGUUGCCUGCUGUCAGUGUACUGGUACAGAUGGUUGACGAACAGUUUAACGCUGAGCA